CCCUCCUUUCUCGAGCUAACGUGUCAGUUGCGUAAAAGCAAUGCGUUGAGCGCUCACGCUUAUCGGCUGUGAAAAUGGACAGACUCAGGGGUCUGUAGCUCAGUCGGUUAGAGCACCGUCUUGAUAAGGCGGGGGUCGAUGGUUCGAAUCCAUCCAGACCCACCACUGUUUCUGCGGUGGCUGCGCUAAUCGCGAGGUUGGAAAACUCACCCCUGGGGUAUCCGUACAGAUGUUGAAAUCUGUGCAUGACUGGGGGAUUAGCUCAGCUGGGAGAGCACCUGCUUUGCAAGCAGGGGGUCGUCGGUUCGAUCCCGUCAUCCUCCACCAAUCCUCAAUGCGUAGCGUUCUGUGAGAGCGCAGAGUGCUGUGCAUUGGCGAUUGAGCCGGUCAGAGUGACAUGAAACAGAGUUUUAUGUCGGCUGUCGUUCUUUAACAAUCAGGAAGAAGUAGUAAAGAGAUUCACGAAAGAUCACUUAGAGAUGGGUGAUGGAGUAGGUGAAUCAGGGUUGUGAUUGUAUCAAUGUAUGAAAAGGUGAUCGAAAGAUUGCCUUGGAAUACGGCGCAACACGAAUACUCAACCUGUAACGAGUGAGGCAAACACGAUCUUCCCAGUGAAGGCCGUGCGAGACACACCCGUUAUAGGGUCAAGCGAACAAGUGCAUGUGGUGGAUGCCUUGGCGAUCACAGGCGAUGAAGGACGCGGUAGCCUGCGAAAAGCGG
Molecule: unclassified non-coding RNA, 720 nt
Filed under: Burkholderia sp. JNR126
Lineage: Bacteria; Pseudomonadati; Pseudomonadota; Betaproteobacteria; Burkholderiales; Burkholderiaceae
Description: partial 16S-23S ribosomal RNA intergenic spacer; may also contain 16S ribosomal RNA and 23S ribosomal RNA
Rfam family: tRNA (bases 89-162)
Source: RNAcentral